RNAcentral lists this ribosomal RNA (2933 nucleotides) under Escherichia coli. RNAcentral's name for it is "23S ribosomal RNA". It matches the Rfam family "Bacterial large subunit ribosomal RNA". Lineage: Bacteria; Pseudomonadati; Pseudomonadota; Gammaproteobacteria; Enterobacterales; Enterobacteriaceae. The record is from RNAcentral.
GGGUUGUGAGGUUAAGCGACUAAGCGUACACGGUGGAUGCCCUGGCAGUCAGAGGCGAUGAAGGACGUGCUAAUCUGCGAUAAGCGUCGGUAAGGUGAUAUGAACCGUUAUAACCGGCGAUUUCCGAAUGGGGAAACCCAGUGUGUUUCGACACACUAUCAUUAACUGAAUCCAUAGGUUAAUGAGGCGAACCGGGGGAACUGAAACAUCUAAGUACCCCGAGGAAAAGAAAUCAACCGAGAUUCCCCCAGUAGCGGCGAGCGAACGGGGAGCAGCCCAGAGCCUGAAUCAGUGUGUGUGUUAGUGGAAGCGUCUGGAAAGGCGCGCGAUACAGGGUGACAGCCCCGUACACAAAAAUGCACAUGCUGUGAGCUCGAUGAGUAGGGCGGGACACGUGGUAUCCUGUCUGAAUAUGGGGGGACCAUCCUCCAAGGCUAAAUACUCCUGACUGACCGAUAGUGAACCAGUACCGUGAGGGAAAGGCGAAAAGAACCCCGGCGAGGGGAGUGAAAAAGAACCUGAAACCGUGUACGUACAAGCAGUGGGAGCACGCUUAGGCGUGUGACUGCGUACCUUUUGUAUAAUGGGUCAGCGACUUAUAUUCUGUAGCAAGGUUAACCGAAUAGGGGAGCCGAAGGGAAACCGAGUCUUAACUGGGCGUUAAGUUGCAGGGUAUAGACCCGAAACCCGGUGAUCUAGCCAUGGGCAGGUUGAAGGUUGGGUAACACUAACUGGAGGACCGAACCGACUAAUGUUGAAAAAUUAGCGGAUGACUUGUGGCUGGGGGUGAAAGGCCAAUCAAACCGGGAGAUAGCUGGUUCUCCCCGAAAGCUAUUUAGGUAGCGCCUCGUGAAUUCAUCUCCGGGGGUAGAGCACUGUUUCGGCAAGGGGGUCAUCCCGACUUACCAACCCGAUGCAAACUGCGAAUACCGGAGAAUGUUAUCACGGGAGACACACGGCGGGUGCUAACGUCCGUCGUGAAGAGGGAAACAACCCAGACCGCCAGCUAAGGUCCCAAAGUCAUGGUUAAGUGGGAAACGAUGUGGGAAGGCCCAGACAGCCAGGAUGUUGGCUUAGAAGCAGCCAUCAUUUAAAGAAAGCGUAAUAGCUCACUGGUCGAGUCGGCCUGCGCGGAAGAUGUAACGGGGCUAAACCAUGCACCGAAGCUGCGGCAGCGACACUGAUGUGUUGUUGGGUAGGGGAGCGUUCUGUAAGCCUGCGAAGGUGUGCUGUGAGGCAUGCUGGAGGUAUCAGAAGUGCGAAUGCUGACAUAAGUAACGAUAAAGCGGGUGAAAAGCCCGCUCGCCGGAAGACCAAGGGUUCCUGUCCAACGUUAAUCGGGGCAGGGUGAGUCGACCCCUAAGGCGAGGCCGAAAGGCGUAGUCGAUGGGAAACAGGUUAAUAUUCCUGUACUUGGUGUUACUGCGAAGGGGGGACGGAGAAGGCUAUGUUGGCCGGGCGACGGUUGUCCCGGUUUAAGCGUGUAGGCUGGUUUUCCAGGCAAAUCCGGAAAAUCAAGGCUGAGGCGUGAUGACGAGGCACUACGGUGCUGAAGCAACAAAUGCCCUGCUUCCAGGAAAAGCCUCUAAGCAUCAGGUAACAUCAAAUCGUACCCCAAACCGACACAGGUGGUCAGGUAGAGAAUACCAAGGCGCUUGAGAGAACUCGGGUGAAGGAACUAGGCAAAAUGGUGCCGUAACUUCGGGAGAAGGCACGCUGAUAUGUAGGUGAAGUCCCUCGCGGAUGGAGCUGAAAUCAGUCGAAGAUACCAGCUGGCUGCAACUGUUUAUUAAAAACACAGCACUGUGCAAACACGAAAGUGGACGUAUACGGUGUGACGCCUGCCCGGUGCCGGAAGGUUAAUUGAUGGGGUUAGCCGCAAGGCGAAGCUCUUGAUCGAAGCCCCGGUAAACGGCGGCCGUAACUAUAACGGUCCUAAGGUAGCGAAAUUCCUUGUCGGGUAAGUUCCGACCUGCACGAAUGGCGUAAUGAUGGCCAGGCUGUCUCCACCCGAGACUCAGUGAAAUUGAACUCGCUGUGAAGAUGCAGUGUACCCGCGGCAAGACGGAAAGACCCCGUGAACCUUUACUAUAGCUUGACACUGAACAUUGAGCCUUGAUGUGUAGGAUAGGUGGGAGGCUUAGAAGUGUGGACGCCAGUCUGCAUGGAGCCGACCUUGAAAUACCACCCUUUAAUGUUUGAUGUUCUAACGUUGACCCGUAAUCCGGGUUGCGGACAGUGUCUGGUGGGUAGUUUGACUGGGGCGGUCUCCUCCUAAAGAGUAACGGAGGAGCACGAAGGUUGGCUAAUCCUGGUCGGACAUCAGGAGGUUAGUGCAAUGGCAUAAGCCAGCUUGACUGCGAGCGUGACGGCGCGAGCAGGUGCGAAAGCAGGUCAUAGUGAUCCGGUGGUUCUGAAUGGAAGGGCCAUCGCUCAACGGAUAAAAGGUACUCCGGGGAUAACAGGCUGAUACCGCCCAAGAGUUCAUAUCGACGGCGGUGUUUGGCACCUCGAUGUCGGCUCAUCACAUCCUGGGGCUGAAGUAGGUCCCAAGGGUAUGGCUGUUCGCCAUUUAAAGUGGUACGCGAGCUGGGUUUAGAACGUCGUGAGACAGUUCGGUCCCUAUCUGCCGUGGGCGCUGGAGAACUGAGGGGGGCUGCUCCUAGUACGAGAGGACCGGAGUGGACGCAUCACUGGUGUUCGGGUUGUCAUGCCAAUGGCACUGCCCGGUAGCUAAAUGCGGAAGAGAUAAGUGCUGAAAGCAUCUAAGCACGAAACUUGCCCCGAGAUGAGUUCUCCCUGACUCCUUGAGAGUCCUGAAGGAACGUUGAAGACGACGACGUUGAUAGGCCGGGUGUGUAAGCGCAGCGAUGCGUUGAGCUAACCGGUACUAAUGAACCGUGAGGCUUAACCUUACAACGCCGAAGGUGUUU